Molecule: unclassified non-coding RNA, 274 nt
Filed under: plant metagenome
Description: partial contains small subunit ribosomal RNA, internal transcribed spacer 1, and 5.8S ribosomal RNA
Source: RNAcentral
UUUCCGUAGGUGAACCUGCGGAAGGAUCAUUAUCGUACAAAAUGUGAGGGGCAUGCGAGGGCUGUCGCUGACCCAAAAGUCGUGCACGCCCGAGUGUGUCCUCUUGCAUAAUACUCCAUCUCACCCUUUGUGCACCACCGCGUGGGUCCCCCUUUGGCUUGUUCGGAGGGGGGCUUACGUUUUCACACAAACUUUGUAUGCAGUGUAGAAUGUAUUUUUUGUUUUUGCGAUCACGCAAUCAAUACAACUUUCAACAACGGAUCUCUUGGCUCUC